UUUUCAUUCUAUCAACCCACAAAGAGUAUAGCCAGCAUACUGAAAUGCACAUUGGUUGAAGGUUAAGGACUUCUACAACUAUCUCUGCUCAGCUGAAAGCGGAUAAUGAACAAGAACAUCAAUUUGUGCAAUAAGCUUUUGACUAGGAGAUAAAGUCUUGGAAUCAGCUUUGUGGGGGCAGGGCCUGAUCAUAAAUAUAACAGGAAUCAGAAGUGGAACUGUUUUUAAACGUCUCUGAGAGCUGUGAAAGAGAGAUUCUCCAUUUGGUGAAGGAAAAAUCUUCCAUUAGAGGCAGAUAAUGGCGUUCUUUAUAAAGCAUUUCACAUUAACCAGCUCUACAAAACAAGCUCCUGUGGAUGCAGUCACAUUAUCUGAGCCACUAAGUCUCCUGUGAAGCUGGUUUUAUAUACUCGGGGAAGCACCAAGCCCAAGCAGUUUUGAAUACCAGUGGAAAAACAAGACUCUCAGCAGUUCCAGGAAAAAUAAAUUAUUAAAGCCGAAAGAGAUGGUGGAACAAUUCAUCCCCCAAAUGUACAAAGGAUUCUUGGGAAGGAGGAAGGCAAAAUGCUUUUUUUCUUUCAACCAAUGCCAUUAAAAAUAAAAUUUACAUUUUACUUUAGAAAACUGGCUUUCCAAGUUGAAGGUUGUGACAUUUGGCCACACACCUUUACUUAUACAAAUAAACACAUUAAUCUCAAUGGAACUAUGAAUUUGCUUCUUUUGUAUUAGUGCCAACCUCAGAAUGUGCCCUCAAUGCCUGAUUUUAA
RNAcentral lists this long non-coding RNA (767 nucleotides) under Homo sapiens (human). RNAcentral describes it as "HSALNT0318371". Lineage: Eukaryota; Metazoa; Chordata; Mammalia; Primates; Hominidae. The record is from RNAcentral.